CAGGGAGACAACAAAAUGUUUAAUAUUAUUAUUUUGUCACCUUAGGUCGAUCGGUAUCUCACGUUUUUAAUUUAUUAAGAAUUUCAUUUCCUAAGUUUUUCUAGGUCACACCCAUUAUUUUUCCUGGGCCAUUAGCUCAGGUGGUUAGAGCGCACCCCUGAUAAGGGUGAGGUCCCUGGUUCAAGUCCAGGAUGGCCCAUAUCUCUAUGUUGGGGGUAUAGCUCAGUUGGUAGAGCGCCUGCUUUGCAGGCAGGAUGUCAGCGGUUCGAGUCCGCUUACCUCCACUGAUCACCACCUCUUCCAUAACCGGUAGAAAGGAAAUUUUUUGAGUUGUGAUCAAAUUCUGAAAGAAUCUAGCUUCCUAAUGAAAUCAUUAAGAUGCUGGACUCAUUGAAUUAAUUUCAUUGUUUUCAGAGAACCUUGACAACUGCAUAGAUUAUUUUUAAAGACAAUAAGCAUCUUUAAUGAUGCAGAUUUAUUAUUUGUGCAAAUGCAUUAAUAACAAUUCUAUUAAGCUGAUGCUUCAAUAUUUGAAGUUAUU
Molecule: transfer RNA, 541 nt
Filed under: uncultured cyanobacterium
Lineage: Bacteria; Bacillati; Cyanobacteriota
Description: partial 16S-23S ribosomal RNA intergenic spacer
Rfam family: tRNA (bases 212-284)
Source: RNAcentral